UGGGGAAUAUUGCACAAUGGGGGAAACCCUGAUGCAGCAACGCCGCGUGAGUGAAGAAGUAUUUCGGUAUGUAAAGCUCUAUCAGCAGGGAAGAAAUUGACAGUACCUGACUAAGAAGCCCCGGCUAACUACGUGCCAGCAGCCGCGGUAAUACGUAGGGGGCAAGCGUUAUCCGGAUUUACUGGGUGUAAAGGGAGCGUAGACGGUUAUGCAAGUCAGAAGUGAAAGCCCAAAGCUCAACUUCGGGACUGCUUUUGAAACUGUGUAACUAGAGUGCAGGAGGGGUAAGCGGAAUUCCUAGUG
Molecule: ribosomal RNA, 303 nt
Filed under: uncultured bacterium
Lineage: Bacteria
Description: bacterial SSU rRNA
Rfam family: Bacterial small subunit ribosomal RNA
Source: RNAcentral